Molecule: ribosomal RNA, 207 nt
Filed under: uncultured bacterium
Lineage: Bacteria
Description: partial 16S ribosomal RNA
Rfam family: Bacterial small subunit ribosomal RNA
Source: RNAcentral
CUCAGUUCGGACUGGAGUCUGCAACCCGACUCCACGAAGCUGGAUUCGCUAGUAAUCGCGCAUCAGCCACGGCGCGGUGAAUACGUUCCCGGGCCUUGUACACACCGCCCGUCAAGCCAUGGGAGCCGGGGGUACCUGAAGUGCGUAACCGCGAGGAUCGCCCUAGGGGUAAAACUGGUGACUGGGGCUAAGUCGUAACAAGGUAUC